Labeo rohita (rohu) is the source of this 1011-nucleotide long non-coding RNA. RefSeq lists it as uncharacterized. The record is from RefSeq and is a predicted model, not a curated record. The transcript has 3 exons. NCBI's taxonomy places the organism in Eukaryota, Metazoa, Chordata, Actinopteri, Cypriniformes, Cyprinidae.
CUGAGUGGUAAAAACUAUAGAAGUUGAUUUCUCUCCUUGUAUGGUUAAACUUAUUUUAUCUUACUUGCUGCUUUCUGUAAAUUGCCAAAUCAAAAGAGACAGUGACUAUCUGUAUUUCCCUGGAGUCGUCAGUAGGUGGUGUUGUAUGCAUUACACCUGGGGAAUGCGCAUACGCUGUUGUUCUCAGAGAUUGUAAGUGACGCGCAGCGAGCAGUGCGAGGGGAGACGCACACUCUCCGUAAUCGUUGACCUAUUUAAGAUCUUCCAACGUUUACAGCUCUCAUUAAGUGAAUGUAAAGGGUGAAAUAGGAGCUCAUCAUCAUUAUUCCCACUGCCGUAUUGUACUGUGUGUAUUUGCGGGUAGAUUCUCUGUAGUGUACAACAGCAUUCCGGUGUUGUAUAAUCUAUUUUUGUAUUGCAGUAUUUUCUUUUUGUAAUUUUGGGGUGACGGCUGUGUUUUUGUAGUGCCGUGUUUUGAAGGUUAAAAGUUUGAUUUUGCUUACAUGCAAAUAGACUGUAAAGCUAUGGCGUGUAGUGCAUUGGAGAUACUCAUACACAGGAAAAUACAGAGCUGCGAGAUUUAAAGUGCAUUCCCAGCUCUGUGUAUUCUUCUCUGUUGUUGUUUUCUUUAACUACAGAAAUCUGUUUUAUUCGUUUCCGGUCUCUUUUGUGAAAGCUGUUAGCCGGAACUGUUUCUUGUACAUUUUUGGAAUACUUUUCAGAACAAAACAUUCUUUUGAAAGCAUUAAAUGAAUAAACUACAAAGUAAGUGAACCCGCUAAAUGUGUUCUUGGUGGUAAAUCAAAAUCCCCGGUCACAAAUAGUUUUACCUCAUCUUUUUUUUUUAUGAUCCUUGGAAGCUAACAUCAAAAUCAACAAUAAAAUUAGUUUAAUAACACAGCCACAGGUCUAAAGUGUAAGCAGACGUUUGAUUGUUUAGUUCUGUCCUCUGUCAUUACAGUUUAACAAGGCUUUCAUAUUGCGCUCUCUGUAGCUCCUCCGCGUGAGCGC